UACGUAGGGUGCGAGCGUUGUCCGGAAUUAUUGGGCGUAAAGAGCUUGUAGGCGGUUUGUCGCGUCUGCCGUGAAAAUCCGGGGCUCAACCCCGGACUUGCGGUGGGUACGGGCAGACUAGAGUGUGGUAGGGGAGACUGGAAUUCCUGGUGUAGCGGUGAAGUGCGCAGAUAUCAGGAGGAACACCGGUGGCGAAGGCGGAUCUCUGGGCCGAUACUGACGCUGAGGAGCGAAAGCGUGGGGAGCGAACAGG
RNAcentral lists this ribosomal RNA (253 nucleotides) under uncultured bacterium. RNAcentral's name for it is "partial 16S ribosomal RNA". It matches the Rfam family "Bacterial small subunit ribosomal RNA", at positions 524 to 776 of the family's 1533-position model. The record is from RNAcentral.